CAUGUAGGCGGAUUAAUAAGUUUGAAGUGAAAUCCUAUAGCUUAACUAUAGAACUGCUUUGAAAACUGUUAAUCUAGAAUGUGGGAGAGGUAGAUGGAAUUUCUGGUGUAGGGGUAAAAUCCGUAGAGAUCAGAAGGAAUACCGAUUGCGAAGGCGAUCUACUGGAACAUUAUUGACGCUGAGAUGCGAAAGCGUGGGGAGCAUACA
RNAcentral lists this ribosomal RNA (207 nucleotides) under uncultured bacterium. RNAcentral's name for it is "partial 16S ribosomal RNA". It matches the Rfam family "Bacterial small subunit ribosomal RNA", at positions 568 to 774 of the family's 1533-position model. The record is from RNAcentral.